CGGACGGGUGCGUAACACGUGGGCAACUUGCCCUCCAGUGGGGGAUAACCCGCCGAAAGGCGGGCUAAUACCGCAUAAUAUUUUUGCUGCUUCGGCGGCGAAAAUCAAAGCCCGCAAGGGCGCAGGAGGAGGGGCCCGCGGCCGAUUAGCUUGUUGGCGAGGUAACGGCUCACCAAGGCAAUGAUCGGUAGCCGGUCUGAGAGGAUGGCCGGCCACACUGGAACUGAGACACGGUCCAG
This 239-nucleotide ribosomal RNA is filed under the name uncultured bacterium. Its description in RNAcentral is "partial 16S ribosomal RNA". It matches the Rfam family "Bacterial small subunit ribosomal RNA", at positions 99 to 334 of the family's 1533-position model. The record is from RNAcentral.